GCAGCCGCCGCGGGAAUACGGAGGGUGCAAGCGUUAAUCGGAAUUACUGGGCGUAAAGCGCACGCAGGCGGUCUGUCAAGUCAGAUGUGAAAUCCCCGGGCUUAACCUGGGAACUGCAUUUGAAACUGGCAGGCUAGAGUCUUGUAGAGGGGGGUAGAAUUCCAGGUGUAGCGGUGAAAUGCGUAGAGAUCUGGAGGAAUACCGGUGGCGAAGGCGGCCCCCUGGACAAAGACUGACGCUCAGGUGCGAAAGCGUGGGGAGCAAACAGGAUUAGAUACCCGGGUAGUCCCUGUCUCUUAUAA
RNAcentral lists this ribosomal RNA (302 nucleotides) under uncultured bacterium. RNAcentral describes it as "partial 16S ribosomal RNA". It matches the Rfam family "Bacterial small subunit ribosomal RNA", at positions 508 to 809 of the family's 1533-position model. The record is from RNAcentral.